UUUUCUAAAGUCAGAUGAGUUCAUUCUCCAAGACUCCACUCCUGUAACACGACAACACGUAAGUGUUAUAAUCAUAUAAUAAACGUUGGCAUGAAGUGACAUUGUAUUAUAUCAUACUUGAUUAUUAUUUAGUACAACAAAUUUUCAAAUUACAGAAAUAUUAAUAAAUCAGAUUGAUUUUGAAAUGGAAAUAUCAAGAAAAUAAUUCCACUGGAUUGUCUCAAUGAAUCAAAUGUAAAAGGAUUUGAUUUGAUGCCUUAUUUAAUUAAUAAUGGAUGAUGAUGAGUCAAGUUUGGUAGCAAGUUGGAGUUGAGUAAGUGUGAGUUCUCUAAACUAUUAUCACAAUAUUGUUUUUUUCUACUUGGAAGAAUAUAUUUAAAACUACAGUUUUGUCAGAUCUGAUAUCUUCAAUUAUUUGGCUUUAAUAAAAUUACUGGAUUACAUGUAGUUAUAUUACUGUUAUUAAAUACCAAGUAAUUUGGCACUAGAGACAGGUGUUAGGUGUCAUCUCUUGCUCAAUUUAAUUAUAAAAUUUAGCAGAUGGUGCAUAAUGCCUGUCUCUAGUGCCAAAUUACUUAGCAUGUAAUUAAUAGUAAUACAGCCCAAAAUAAUUCCUGCAAUUGUUUGACAUAAAAUCCAAAUCCAAUAAUUAUAUAUUAAACUUUAAUUUUAUAUUGCAUAAAAAAUAAAAUAUUAGGUUGUUCGGAAAGUAAUUUUGUUUAUUUUCUUACCGCUAGACGGAUUAGUCA
Long non-coding RNA from Centruroides sculpturatus (bark scorpion), 749 nucleotides. RefSeq lists it as uncharacterized. NCBI's taxonomy places the organism in Eukaryota, Metazoa, Arthropoda, Arachnida, Scorpiones, Buthidae. The transcript has 3 exons. The record is from RefSeq and is a predicted model, not a curated record.